UGGGGGGGACGGCCCCCCCACUGGCGUUCCAGUCCCGGGACGACCAGG
This 48-nucleotide non-coding RNA is filed under the name Camelus bactrianus (Bactrian camel). RNAcentral's name for it is "Guanidine-II riboswitch aptamer (mini-ykkC)". It matches the Rfam family "Guanidine-II riboswitch aptamer (mini-ykkC)". From Rfam's summary of the family: Simpler in structure and has fewer highly conserved nucleotide positions than the ykkC-yxkD leader. Despite this each of its two stem-loop structures directly bind free guanidine. Therefore, mini-ykkC RNA motif represents a distinct class of guanidine-sensing RNAs. Lineage: Eukaryota; Metazoa; Chordata; Mammalia; Artiodactyla; Camelidae. RNAcentral also lists the same sequence under 2 other names. The record is from Rfam by way of RNAcentral.